This 72-nucleotide transfer RNA is filed under the name Bacteroidota bacterium. RNAcentral's name for it is "Bacteroidetes bacterium (activated sludge metagenome) tRNA-Gly". It matches the Rfam family "tRNA". Rfam says of the family: Transfer RNA (tRNA) molecules are approximately 80 nucleotides in length. The record is from RNAcentral. Lineage: Bacteria; Pseudomonadati; Bacteroidota.
GCAGCAUAUGCAUUGAUGGUAGUGUACCGGUCUUCCACACCGGGGGAGAGUGUUCGAAUCACUCAUGCUGCA